Phyllosticta citriasiana is the source of this 107-nucleotide non-coding RNA. Lineage: Eukaryota; Fungi; Ascomycota; Dothideomycetes; Botryosphaeriales; Phyllostictaceae. The record is from the annotation of a GenBank genome assembly.
GGCGAGGUGGCCGAGUUGGUUAUGGCGCCAGGUUAAGGUCACCCUUAACGAGUACAAUCUGAUUCCUGGUGGGGCAACCCGCGCGAGUUCGAGUCUCGUCCUCGUCA